This 255-nucleotide ribosomal RNA is filed under the name uncultured bacterium. RNAcentral's name for it is "partial 16S ribosomal RNA". It matches the Rfam family "Bacterial small subunit ribosomal RNA", at positions 524 to 776 of the family's 1533-position model. The record is from RNAcentral.
UACGUAGGGUGCGAGCGUUGUCCGGAAUUACUGGGCGUAAAGAGCUCGUAGGUGGUUUGUCGCGUUUGUCCGUGAAAACUCACAACUCAAUUGUGGGCGUGCGGGCGAUACGGGCAGACUGGAGUACUGCAGGGGAGACUGGAAUUCCUGGUGUAGCGGUGGAAUGCGCAGAUAUCAGGAGGAACACCGAUGGCGAAGGCAGGAUCUCUGGGCCGUAACUGACGCUGAGGAGCGAAAGCAUGGGGAGCGAACAGG